GAAUUUAGUAAGGGAAGAUCUCUCUCUUUUAAUGUCCACAUCCCUUAAAAUAACAAUAAUCUUCCUUUUAACCUUUUAUACAAAUUUCUGAAGAGACAUUAAUUUUUGAAUCAUUUUACCUAGGGCAAUGAAACAGGCUGAUUUGUUUCCUUUCAUCUUUGGUGUCGGACUUUCACCUUCGCAGCUGUCGGGGUACAAGCGGCACAUGUCAAAAGCUAGAACUUUGGGAUGAGGAGGGAUCUUGGAGCUCAGAGUUUACAUAACUCCCACUGUCACCAACCUGAGACACAUGAACACAGAGAAUUCUAUCAAUAGUCACAGAAACACCAAAAAAACUUUUCAACCCUGUAUUCUCAAAUGCCAGGAAAUAUUGGAAUCCUCAGACAAACAUGUUUUCCCAAAAAAGAUGACCAGGGAAUCAGAUUCCAGAAACCCCCUCUGCUGUCCUGACAGAAACCGCUUAAUGCUCUGGGCAUCUUCCACUCCUGCCGUCACCGUGUGGGCACAAGUGGCCGUGCUCCAUGAGAGCCUGAAACGACCCUGGCCACCACUCAGACUGAGCUUCAUCACCUCACGCAUGACUCCCUAGGGGAGCCGGGGAUAAGGCCGGACUAAGGGUCCAGGUCUGGGCAAGGUGCUGUCUGGGCCCCACGGGUUGCAGGCACCAGUGGUGGAACUCCAGAAUAAGCUGUCAAAGGAGGACUGGAGACCAGGCAUUUAGAAAAGGGAUGGAGACGUUCACCUGCGAAGGGUGUGAGGGACUUGGCCUUCAGACAACCGACUGGCCAGAUGCAAAGCACAAACGUUUGAAGGAAAAAAUGAAAAACGGCCAAGUUCACCGUGUUUACAUUAGUCUACUCACGGUGAAAAAGAAGCAGCUUUCUCACAUAAUCAUCCUAUUUACAACACAUCCUCAGAUCUCAGCACUGCAAAACUCAGGGAUUAAAGUGUUCCGUUAGGGGGUCCAAAUUUCUGGGAAGUAUUCAAGGCUUAUUAUUUUGGGAACCAGAACCAGUUAGGACAACCCUGUCAGUUUGUUUUUUUCUUUUUUUCCUGACUGUGGCAUGUGAGUGCUUAGUCAUCCUGGAAACAGGGCAAGGUGUCAGCUUUUGUUUCUGCAAUGCUCCACACACGCUUGUUAAAUUAACUGAACUGAAGUUGAUGGUCCCUCACAGGAUGGUAAAAACUGUGGUCUCCAGAGAAGCCUCGUGGAGAUAAUGGACAGGUGCUUGUACAAGGUCCUCUUGGCUGACCUGACGUUGGCGUCUGGGGUCCCUGACCUUGGCCCAUCUUAUUGGAGAAGAAGCGGCUGCUUGAGCUGAUCCAGGCGAUUCCUCUGCCGGCUCGCUCCUGCCUCUUACCUUCACAGACCCCAACUGCUUUCCUUUCAGACUGGGGACUCCCCGGGCGCAGGGGCUGUCUCUUUUGCAUCUGCCACACUUGGACCCUUCCGAAGGUGACAAUCUUAAACUCCCGUCCACUAGGCCAUUCUGCCCCUUCUCUCCAUUUGGAUAUCUAGAGGUAAGUAGGAGCUAAUGAAUGCCGCUGUGAGCUCUGAAACUCCUCUGCAAAUGUGUUGCUCUUGCUUGUCUGAAUAGCCCUUCUCACCAUAAGUGAUGGUCCUCUCAUUGGGAUAGUUUUUAAUGCCAGGAGAAAAGGAAUGUUGGCAAGACACAAAGCCAGACCCCACCCCCACUGUGCUGCGAUGGGCUCGGAAAGCACCCCCUCACCCCAUUGAGCAAUGCCACUGCUGACCUUGGGAACAGUAUUCUGCCUUUUGAGCCUCAGUUUCUCCCCAGGAUGUUAAAGACUAAAUGGGAUGUUGUAUGUAAGGGUCUGGCCUCAGCAGACACUGGUUCCCUUUCUUUUCCACACUCUGCCUUAACUUCUGGCUCUUCCACAGUGGAGACAUUUCUGUGGCUCCUCCACUAAGUACUGAAUUCGUGAGACACGUAGAGCAGAGCUACGUGGAUCUCCUGUGCUCUGGCCAGGAGAGAUUCAGAGAACAGUGCGAACUUCCGUUAGGGGCCUUCAGCACUGACACUGGCGGCUAGAGGCAUCUUAAGCCCAGGCCCUUUGGAUUGAAAUGAGAUAAGCAGGUCCCUUCUGGAGCCUGGGAAAUGGGUGAAGUUAGAAGAGAACAAUUUAUAUAGUAAGAAGAUUACAGCAGACAGCAUAAUGGUUCCCCAAAGAUGUCCAUGUCCUAAUUCCCAGAACCCAGGAAUACAUUACCUCACAUGGGAAAAGUGGCUUUGAAGACAUAUCUCAGCUAAGGAUCCUGAGACGGGGAGAUUAUCUUGGAUUAUCUGGGUGGCCCAAUGGAAUCCCACGAGUCUUUUAGACACAGAAAAGGGGACGUGAUGAUGGAAGUGGAGUUUGGAGCCAUGCGCUUUGAAGGUGGAGGGAGGGGUCACGAGCCAAGGGAUGCAGGCAGCUGCUUGGUGAAAAGGCAGGAAAAUGGAUUCUAUCCUGGAGGCCCGCUGACACCUUGAUUUCAGCCCAAUAAAACUUAGUUUGGGUUGCUGACCUCCAGAAUUGUAAGAUAAUGAAUAUGUGUCGUUUCAAGGCACUAAAGUUUGUGGUAAUUGGUUCCGGCAGCCACAGGAAACUCAUACCGAGACUGUUUUCUCCAUCUGGCAACAAGGAAGCUGAGAGCAGUGACCUUUCCAGGUCACUUGGCGCGGGCGACAGAGCCUGCCCUGGAGCCGGUCUCCAGCUCUGUCCACCAGGCACGGCCCCAAGCAGAUCUGAGUUUAGGGAAUGUGAAGACAUGCCCGAAAGUGACUUUUCUCCUUAGCAGCAGGGACCUCGGGGGGCGAAACCUGCAUGGUGUUGACAUGAAGUACCAGCUCCCUCAUCAAACCCCGAGCAGCACUGCCUGGUCGACACUGGAAGAAUCCCACACAGGAGAGGCAGCUGGAUCACACGAUCCCUACUCUGGCCCAGGACUCACCAAGAUGUACCUUCUCCUUGAGAGGCUGUCACCAUUGUGGCCUUGGGCACAAUGGUCGUCCUUUAACACUCUGACCUGGGAGGUGGCACACGCUCUCUCUGUAGAGCUGAGUCUGAGACAGGUAUUCAGGUCAGACCUUAGGGAGCUCCAGGGUACUGAAGGAGGUACACACUGCGAUGGUGCCUCAUGACAGACCUCCAUGUCAUGCUCCCCUGAGCCCACAUAGCGGACACCAUCUUACACCUCCCGUUGAGGACACACCCCUGCUCCCAAGCUGGGGCCCAAGAGAACCAGGCCCAAGAGAGGGGAGGCCCUCCUCUGUCUGCCUGAGGCCAGUCUUCCAAGCUCUGGUUUCCAGUAGAGAUUUACCCUCUUCCUGGUGGUGGAACUGGGCCCCUCCCUCUUGAGGGAGACCGAGCUUCUUGUCUGAGACGUGACCUGGCUCACCAUUCGGGCCACAAGAGAAUGGAUAGAAUGUGCCAGUCUCCCAACAGCAUAUCAGUUACACACAUACACCGUUGGGUUAAAGAGCUGAAUUGUUCUCCAGAGCCCAGGAGUCUUUUAGCUGAAAAACUUCACACCAUUCGUCCAUCCCAUGGGGGAAGGGAGACUUCUUAUGGGUGACCAAACUCAACACGUAUUAUGCCAGUCGCCCCCUGCCAAACCUGGGGUGGUGUGUUGUUCUUAUUCCUAUUUGACAGAGGAGCAAACUGAGGCUCGAACCAGAUGAUGGCCUUUCAACUACUGAGUGUGGGGCUGGGAGAUGCUCCUCAUAGGAGGAGAGUGGGAGAAGGGUGGAGGGACCACCUGGACAGAAAACUCGUACACACAGUCAGACAACAGAACAGAAGGGAUGAAAUUGGGGCUGCCCUAGAUGGCUGGUGAGACCUUGCCAAGAAAGGACGUCAGGAGCCGACCAAGGGCAUGACCGUGACGAGGCGCCGGCGUCUGGACUCUGCCACCGCUCCCCAUUGCUGAUUUCUCAUCUCCCCUCUGUUCCCCGCAGUGACUGCCUUUUAAACCCUGAAACUGAAGGGACAGCAGGGAAGUGGGUGGCCAGGGAGUCUUUGUCCAGCUCUGCAGCUAAUGUUGAAGGAGAAAGACACCCCACAGCAUGGUGUUUGUGUGCGCAGUUUUGAGAGUAAAGUUAAGAGGAGAAGGUAGAGUAGAAGGAGGAAGAAGGGAACUCACAGGAGGUGGUGGGACGGAGGGCUGCAGCUCCCCGUUCUUUCAGGUCACAGUUACUGCACCCCGACUGGGUGCCGAGUCCUGGACUAAAAUGGGCCGGGUGAGGAGGUGGAUUUACUCUGGAUGGUCAGGGAGGCCUCCCCAAGGAGGCAGCCUUAAACCGAGAUCUGAGGGGUGAGAGGUGGGUCAGGAGCGGAAGCUAAUCUAGGUAGAGCAUGCCACACGUAAAGUCCCAGAGGCGAGAAACAGCUUUGGGUAUAUAUAUAUAUAUAUAUAUAUAAAGUGGAAGGAACUGGUGAGGCUCGAGCAGACUGAGCGGUGGGGGGAGGCAAGAGGCACAGCGGAGAGAGGGACCUGGGUCAGGGGCCUGUGAAGCAUGAGGGGGUUUGCUCUGAGUGAGUCAGGAUGUUGAAGCUGGGGUGCAUGAUGGGGUUUAUGUUUAGAAAAUCCACUCUUGCUGCUCUGUGAGCAUACAUGUGGAGUGGGACAGGAGUAGGGGAGGUGAGAGAGCAUGACGAGCUGUUAAGGAGGUCCAGGCGACAGAGGUGCUGGCCUGGACUGUCUGGUGGGGAUGGAGAUGGAGAGAAGUGGGCAGAUUCUAGAUGUUAAUUGGAGGGAAAAUCAAACUUGCUGAUGAGUUGGCUGUAAGGGGCCGACGGCAAAGGAGGAAGCUCUCUCUUCAGCACCGUGGAGAGGAUCACGGCAGGUUUCUAAAGUGGGGAGCGCUGUGGGCGGGGACAGGUUUUAGAGUACGGGACGCUAUUUCAGGCAGAGUGGAGAUGAGCUGUUUACGCCUCAUCUGAGUGGAGGGAGCAAGUAGGCCAGUGAAUAUACGCAUGUGGAGCUCAGAGGGCAGUCUGGGCAGGUGAUAUAUAAGUGUGGGAGUCAUCAGCAUAAAGAUGCUAUUUACAGCCAUGGGAAAGGAUGAGAUCAUCCAGGGAGAGAAGGGAAGAGGCCUCUGUCCAGGCCUGAGGCGUUUGGACAUUUAGAGAUCAGGUGAGGUCUGGGAGACAAGGAAGGGGCAGCUGCAACAAUUUCAUUCAAGUAUACUUCUAUCGAGCCUGCAGGCCCAGCUGCACACGCUGCAGAUGUUGGGGCCCAAGGGAGCAGGGCAAGUCUUUGGCCUCAGGGGCUCAUAGUCUAUGAGGAGCAUUUGUAGGAGCCGAUGACGACAAUAUGGUGUGGUCAAGAAUUUAGAGAUGGGCCCAGGAGAAGGGACUGGAAGACUUGUCUGUGGUCUCAGGUCCCUGAAACUAGGGGUAUGGCCAAGUGUAUGGGCGGGACCAUGGGCCUCAGGAAGAUGGGGAGAAAGGAUGCAGAGGCUGGGAGCUAUUCCAGACCUGGUUUCUUUCCUCUAGACUCCCUGUGUCCCCUUGAACCCGGCUUCGCCUCUCCCCCACCCUCCACGCCCUGGUCUUCUUCCACCAGAACCCCCACUGUCCAUGGCCAACACCACGGAGCCCUGCUUGUUCCUCACUUCCAUCCCCAUCUCCAUGCCCCAGGUCUCCAGGCACCCCUCCCCCCCACUGCCCUGCUGACAGGCUAGCAUCCUGAGGAGCAGAGCUGUUUUCUAGAAACAGGAUUAACUUGACAGCAAAAUGACCACAGCCUGGAGCCUUGCUCCCCAUCAAGGCAGGAUGUUGUCUCAAAAACUGUUUCUUCAUUUCCUGCUGUUGAGCAAUCAUGCAUGAUGACUAGCUUCUAUUUCACACCGCUUGAAGAAGACAGAGAAAUCUGUCUCACUGAGCUUUUCAGAGAGAAAUGGGGUCAGCCCCCUCGUGACUGCAGGCAGGGCCCUCCACCAACCCCCUGUCCUCCCCACAUCAGUGCUGAGCAGUGCGGGCGGGCCGCACUUGUUCAGUGUGCUGCCUGGGUCACGGCGCCCACGUGGCUCGCUCUCCUGUGGCUGUGUUCAGUCCACGAACCUGCACAGUCUGGCCCCAACCUCUCUGUCCAUCCUCAUCUUGUGCUGCCUCCUUCUGAGCCCCAUGUCUGGUCCAGUCUGGAUGUGCCCUGGGAUGUCGGCUCUCAGUCCUUGCUGCACAAGCUCUGCCUCUGAGAGCGAGGAAGGUCUGAGCCUGCACUCGAGGCCCCAUCUCAGUGCCGGAGCCUCUCUCUGUGAAAGCCGUCACCCACCAGCCAACUGGGGAGGAUUUCUCCUUCCUUUGAACGUGCUUAGCUUCUUCCUUUGUCAUUGCUUGUGGCUCAUUUAAUCUUGAAGUAUAAUGCUUUGAGGGCACUCCUUAUCACCUCUUCUAGACCCUAUAAACUCCAGAAGAUCGAGCCUUGAGUCUGGGGUCAAAUCUGAUUUGUCUCUACCUAUAGUCUCAGCAAAAGUCUGGACAUCCCUGUAAAAUGGAUGAAUUUUGAUUAAAGUUGUAGGGAGCCUUGAGCUGACAUGGGAGAUGCAGCCUAAGGCUUGAUUUUAUUGGUUCUCUGGGAAAAUGCAGCUCUCUGUGAAGAACAGAGUCUAUAAGGGGAUAGAGAGCUAUGUGCUCACUCAUUCAUCCAUCCAUUCACUCAACAAACACUUAUUAAGCAUCUGCUAUGUGCCAGAAAUAGUGUUAAAUGCUGGAGAUACAGUCGUAAGACUGGUAGUUCUUGCUCACGUGGAGAUUCUAUUCCAGCUCAGGGAGAUCGAUGACAAACAAGGAAACAUUGCAUAGUGGUCGGUGCCAUGAUAAAAAUAAGUCGGAGUGAUGUGACAGUGUGCCUGGGAAGUGGUUGAAAGAGCUCUCUGGAGCAGUGACACUUCGGAGAGACCUGAAGGAUGAGCCGAGGCGGUCGUGGGAAGACCUGGGCAUGAGCAGUUGGAGGGCGGAACAGGGGGCACAAAGCUUGGAGGUCAGGGAAGUGGGGAGAGACGGGAGAAGUUCAAGGGUGCGAGGAACAGAAGUGAGGAACAAAUGACUGGAUCACAGAGCACAAGGGGCCGAUGAGCAUAGACAGUCUGUUCAGUAGGGAGAUAAUGGUGAGAUGGCCAGAAAGAGACAGCAGAGGGUCAGAGCCUGCACCAAGCUGUGGAUCCAAGUCCUGAUUCUAACUAUUAACAACUUUUCUGGGUCUCAGUUUCUUCAUUUGUAAAAUAUCUAACUUUUAGAGUUCUUGUGAAGGUUAAAUGACAUAACAGAAAUAAACACCUAUCACGUUAACUCUAUAAAUGGUAACCUGUAAUCCAGGUAAGACCCUAGAAGCCAGCUUUACAAGGUUAGGGAUGACCAGGACCAUGGAGCCGAGAGAGGAACGAGUGAACCGUGGUCCAAGUGGGCUCCCUCGUUUCCUCCUAACUCCAUCCUUUCUCUCUCUUUCACUUUCUUUUUAUCUUUCUCCCCACCACAAUUUCUUACUCUCGCCUUCCUUCAUACUAUUUCAAGUCACAUCACCUCACUGUCCAAAAUUUGGAAUAAAGACGUCUUAAAAUAUAGAUUAUUUAGUAUGGUUUUGGCUUCCUUUAAAAAUCAUGUGUGUUUAAUGCUUUAUACAUGUCUCUUAAUUAAAAAGCAGCAAGAGCAGCAGCAUCCACACCUAAAUUAAGUAAUUUUCUAUGAUUGUAUGGUC
Long non-coding RNA from Equus caballus (horse), 7699 nucleotides. The record is from Ensembl. Lineage: Eukaryota; Metazoa; Chordata; Mammalia; Perissodactyla; Equidae.